CGAGUUCCCGUACGAUCACUGAAGUUAAGCAACGUCCAGCCUGGUUAGUACCUAGAUGGGUAACCGCUUAGGAAUACCAGGUGCUGUAAG
Acanthosepion pharaonis is the source of this 90-nucleotide non-coding RNA. The record is from the annotation of a GenBank genome assembly. Lineage: Eukaryota; Metazoa; Mollusca; Cephalopoda; Sepiida; Sepiidae.